AAAUAAAAAUUAUUUUGUCGAAUUGGAUGUCUAUUUUUUAUCAAUUAGUUAGGAAUUAGUAUAUGUUAGAGUAUAGUUUUUUGUAAUAUUUUAUUUUAUAGUAGGAAGGCAACAAAUGAGAGUCUAUACUUGGACAUAAUUUCUUCCUUAUUAGUCUAGAAAGCAACAAUAGCAUCUAAACAACAAUAGUUUGUAGUGGCAUGCAGUGUCAUAUCGAAUCCUAAGUAAAGGACUUAAGAUUUUUUUCAUUAUAAGUACUUAGCCAUAACUGGCUAUAUUGAUGGUUGCAUAGUCCCCUACCUAUAGUUAAUCAUGGCCCGUACAUGUAUGCUCUAGAGCAGUUUAGAGGAGAAUAGAGAGGGAGCUUUUCUCCAAACUAUUAUUUUUUAAUAAUUUCAUCUAUAUAACAAUAAAAUCUAAAUAGUCUUUCUCUAGUUUUUUCAUAGAGACUCCACAACUCCCUCUCCUUUUCAAGCAUCCCUUAGCCCUAGCCUCAUUGCUAUUUUUUUUUGGCCGAGAAGCCUUCUCUCCCUGUGCCCUUCUCUGUUCUUCCCCUCGCCCCUAUUCUCUCCCC
RNAcentral lists this long non-coding RNA (574 nucleotides) under Phoenix dactylifera (date palm). RNAcentral's name for it is "long non-coding RNA (PDAC_LNC019438)". The record is from RNAcentral. Lineage: Eukaryota; Viridiplantae; Streptophyta; Magnoliopsida; Arecales; Arecaceae.